AUGGUCUCACUUCUGGGCUGUUUGAGCCUGAAACUGGGUGAAACCUCCCCAAAAAGGCUCCUGCAUGGUUCUUCCCUAGGGGGAAGCAGCCGAGGCAGCGCAGGGCUCAGGAUCUGGCCCUGGAUGCACAUUAAGGGCAUGGGGGAGGCAGCGGGAGCAUCUGUAGGAUCCCCCAGCAUGGGGCAGAGAGGGAUUUGGGGUCGGGGCUGGUGCGGGGGAAGUUUCCGGGGAAGCAGGGGGGGGAGGGGCGGGUUUUUUUCAGUUUUUUUUUUUUUUUUUUUCAGCUUAAUUUCUCUGAACUUGUUACAAGUCUCCUUCCAUUUUGCUCACCGUUUCCAAGCGGCUAAAGAAAGGGAGGCCUGGCACGCCGACAGAGAUGCGAAGUGCACAAAAGGGAGCCGAGUGUGGGCCGAUAAUUCUGUAAUUGGAGCCGCUCGAGGCGAAAUUUUUUUUUUUUUUUUCAUUUUUUUUUUUCUUUUUUCGAGCCAGCCUAAAUGGGGAUCGCUGAAACCCUUCACAAUCGCUCCGCCAGGGCUCUUCUUUAAUGGAUUGCUCCGUUUAACUCUCUCUGUUUGUCACUGGCGAGAUGACAAGAGGAAUUAGUGUGCUGGAAAAUAGAAGGUGAAUGGCAGCUCCCCGGCCCGCUUCCACGGCCCCGCCGUCCCCGGGGUGCCGCGGUGCCAGAGCCGGCUUGCAGGCAGCUCUGCGGCCCCGACAGAGGAGGAGGGGAGCUCGCCUGCAAAAAAAAACAGCAGCUCCAGCACUAAAAUGAGCCUGUGGGGAAAAAUAUGGGGUCCGCACAUCGGGCUGGGGGGUCCUGGAGCACCACGCGCGGCUCCAGGCUGGGGUCAGGGUGGGGGGGACCUCAGUGUCCCGGCGAGGCCGAGUCCUAAACCUUUCUUGGGCUGCAAAACAGCUUUGUAUUUUGCUUUUACAGCCCGGAGGUUUGUUAUUUUUUAAAGCACUGUGGGUUAAUGUCAGCCUGCCGGGGGCGCGGGGCGUCUGGGUGGGAGCAGUCGCCGGCGCUGCUUUGGAGAUGCUCGGACACCUCCAUUGUCUGCAGGCAGCCUCGGAAAUUUUGGCAGCGCCGAUGCCCCGAGGCUAGAGAUGUACCUUUCGCUUUUCCCAUGAAAUUCCACUCCGGUUUGGCUGAGUUAUAGCAAAAAAAAAAAAAAAAAAAAAAAAAAGUUUGAAAAUCGCCAUUUCCCUUCUGCUGCCUGCAUUCCUCAGGAAGGCUUUGGCAGCCUGUCAGAACAAUAACUGAACGUGAACUUUCUGAAGAGCUGGCCCUGCCAAAGCAGCGAGCCGGCGCGGCGUGGCCUUUCCCUCACCCCCCUUCCCUCCCCGUGCCCACCCCUCGAGCACCCGUCCCGGGCACCCUUGGGUGCAGAUGUGCCCGCUCCAGGCAGCAGGAGGCAGAGCCCGGAGGGGCAAAGCAAGGCUCAGGUCCUCUCCCCGUGCAGGAGGGCAGUGCUCAGCACCCAUCCUGCCCCGUUACUCCUGGGGCUUUUGGGGCUUUAGGGGCAAAACCCCCCCGGAGCAGCGGGGAAAGGCCGGGUCAGGUUUUGCCCAGGGAUGCACGAGGUCCAGCGGCAAUAACCGA
RNAcentral lists this long non-coding RNA (1603 nucleotides) under Anas platyrhynchos platyrhynchos (common mallard). Its description in RNAcentral is "lncRNA (ENSAPLG00000026941.1)". Lineage: Eukaryota; Metazoa; Chordata; Aves; Anseriformes; Anatidae. The record is from RNAcentral.